UAUAUGUAUAUAUAUAUAUAUGUAUAUAUAUAUAUAAGCACAACAUCUUUAUUUAGUUUCUCAUAGUUAUGUAUAUUUAUAUUUUAAUAUAUUAUAAGUAUAAAGAUAGAAAUACUUAGCGGGAUAAAUGGGGGUGCUCUCCCCCAAGCUGAAUUUUGACGUAAUUUCUUCUGAUGUAGCUAGCAGGUGGCAGAGGUGUAUUUAAAAGUCGGCAGCACCCUGACAGCGAUUAGAAUGUCCUCCGUCUGCUAGUCUUCUUGAUUCUUAAAUUCUGUGGAGCUCAAAUAGACAACAAAGCUUUGUGGAACUGAUUGAGUGUUAGCAUAAAUAUCUAGCCUUUAUCAUGUUGAGCUUCCUCAAUAAAUGUUACUCUCUAUUUUUUUUAUUUUCAUUUUAUAAAGUAGAAAAAAUAUUUAUUUUAUUUUUAUGCCACCACAGUGAAUGUACUUAUGGGUUUUAUGCCACUCGUAUACUCACAUGGGGCUUACUGUUUUUUAACAUUUUUAUUUUCUUUUUAGGAUAGUAUGAACAUGAUUAACUAAGCAAACUAUUUUAAAUAAUUUGAAAGGAAAAGGAUAACAACCAAGUUUACCUCUUGGCAAGGCGUUCGGUGUUUUUAAGUCCUCUGAACGGGACUCUUUGUUUUCUCAGUUGUCCUGGGAUUCGUUGGAUGGCGUAGUCGGUGCUUCCGGCGGCGCCUCCUCUUCGUGUAUGGUUAUCUUCUCUCUCCACACCUGUCUUGGUGCUACGGUCUCCUCUGGAUAAUUCUGUUUAAACUGUAUGUCUUCAGACCUUACCACUUCUCCGGUUCCAAUGUAGAUGAUUGCUUUAACGGUGCUGAGGAAUGGUCUUCCAAGGAUGAUGGGUGGAUCGUACUCAUCUUCUCCCAUGUCAAUAACCUAAAAGUCUGUAUAGACAAAAUGAUCGUCUAUUUUGACAGGGACAUCAGUUACUAUACCUUUAACCUCUCGAAAUGUCGGAUCUGCCAUCUGGAGCUGAAUGUAUGUUGGUUUUAGGGGCAUGGUUCCGAACAAGAGCCGAUAGGUGACUGCGGCCAUUAUGUUAAUGCUCGAUCCGGUGUCACAAGUCGUCUUGUAGAAGUUGUAUCCAUUUAUGAAGCAAUAGAUGCUUGGCAUUCCUGGGUCGUCCUUUUUGGUCAGAAACGGUGACUUAAAUUGAUGAUCUUGACCUCCUUGAACUGUAGUGACCAUCUUAGCUGACUCGGUCCACACUUGCUUGUUCCUAUUCCUCCUGUUGGUCCUAUUCCUUGGUUCAUGUCAGGAUUGCUCCGGGAUUUGUGUAAUCUUGUUCUUGAAGGAAAAUGCCUCCUUCCUCCCUUUGAUGUAGAAACUGAUCUUGACAGCACUAGCGUAGAUGACAGCUCCUGAGGUGUUCAAGAAUGGCCUCCCUAAGAUAAUGGGUGCCCUCUCAUCAUUACCGAUCUUUAUUACCACGAAGUCUGCUGGGGCGUACAAGGUACCAACUCAGACAUAGAGGUUCUUCAAUAUUCCUUUUGGAAAACUUAUCGUCUGAUCUGCAAACUGCAAACACAUGGUUGUUUCUGAUAAAGGAUAUGUAAAGAAUUUUUCAUAGAGUACCCUGGGCUUGACGCUAGAGCCAAAGUCGCAGAGUGCUUCUGGGAAGUCCACCAUGCCGAUGGAGAUCGGAAUGACGGGGCGUCCUGGAUCGCCUCUCUUGACCGGCAGAAGGUCAAUAGUAACUUCAGUGAUGGGGUUACUCCAGUAGUUACCUGCUUCAAACAUGUCUACAAGAUUUGCAGAUCUAAUCCUUCCGGUUGUGAUGGUAUACCGGGGUUAGUAGCAGAAACAACAGCAGCUAUUUGAUUUAACUGAGAUUCAAUCAUUUUAUUAAAGCUAAUUUGAUUCUUGAUGGCAGU
Molecule: long non-coding RNA, 1897 nt
Filed under: Sorghum bicolor (sorghum)
Lineage: Eukaryota; Viridiplantae; Streptophyta; Magnoliopsida; Poales; Poaceae
Description: long non-coding RNA (SBIC_LNC001412)
Source: RNAcentral